Ictalurus punctatus (channel catfish) is the source of this 3181-nucleotide long non-coding RNA. NCBI's taxonomy places the organism in Eukaryota, Metazoa, Chordata, Actinopteri, Siluriformes, Ictaluridae. The record is from Ensembl.
UUUUGAUUUAUUUUGGAUUUAAUUCAACAUCUAAAUAACAAAUCAUUAAAUAUGACCAUGAGAACUACAUUUAUACCUGGUAUUUAUUCAUAGCCUACAUUCACUUUAGCAGCAGCAUUUAUUAAACAGGCUGCUUUUCAACAUGUGACCAUUGCAAAAACACUCUUUCCCUCCAUUCAAAUGAGGUUCAAAAAACAUUUUAUGAACCGACACACUUGCCAUCCUUUCUUCCUGAAUGAAAAGAACUGUUUUAAUAUCAAAGUGGGUCAUGCUGUACGAGCUUCAGUGGGCUAGGGGCGCUGCAGAAACAGAUGAGAGAUUAUGACAUCAUUCUCAGGACUGGAAUAUUCCACUAGUCAGAACACGACCUUGAAUAAGCUCUGAAAAUGCACAAGUGUUAAAUCAUUUAGCAGGGUAUCUCUCGUGGUGUUCAGCCAUGACAUUAAAGCCGAGUGCACGGUGAGGAUUUAUGACAUUUACAUAUAGUCUGUUUGAGUGUGUAAUUAAACAUGCUUCUAAUUCCAUGUGCAGAUCUGAUUUACAUAGACAGUGUAACGUCUACAUCUGCGCAAACAUCUUAUAUAUUGCACCAUUUAGGCCAGGAACUAAAGUAUGGCUUUCCUAAACUCCAAUAAGCACAUUUUUUUUUAAUAUAAAUCCAAACAUUUAUUACAGGAAAAUAAUGAAUGUGUGCACAAAACUGUUUGAAACAUUGUUUGUGAAAUGACAGGCUCGUGUCUCAUUUGUUGCGUAGGCCUGAUUUCCCAAAUGUACUGCAUAGCUGCCCUUUGAACAUUGUCUCCAGAAUGUAAUCAUGAUCGUUGUGCUGCAAAUCUUUGGAGAACUUUCAUGUCUGGUGGGACACAACUUAAAAGGAUGGCUGGGGCGAAAAUCUAAUUUACAUAAACUUCCAACAUACCUCAGCCAAGACAUUUGGUGUCCAAAUUUUGCUUCUUUAGUUUUGUAACUAGGAGCUUUGAGCAAAUGUAGCCAGCAAGAAAUGAAAGCCUAAGAUCACCAAUUAGAAUCAAGCUGAAGUCACUGAACACUUAACUGAAACAACAUUGUUAAGCCACGUAUAACCAUCUGCAUCUAAAUAGCACAAUACGACUUUUUAGUUUUCUUAUAUAAGCUGAAUUACAUGAUUCUGAAUUGAAAAUGGCUGCCACUAGUUCUGCAGUGCCCAUUUGUUGCAUGAUGUUAACUGGUGGUGAUAAGUUCUUAUUGUUUGUUCCAGUUCACAGCAAAACUAAAAAAGAGCACUUGUCUUGGACAUUUGGAACUUUUUUCCCCCUGAAACAUCAUUUUAAUAAAAUAAGCAUUUUAAAAUAUUACCUGCACCCAAAAACUCCUUAAUCAUUACUGCAUGCACAUGAUGAUCUCUACCCAAUCACCUUAAUACAGCAUUGAGUAUCAGUGGUGUGAAAAAUUAUUUGCCCCAUCCAAAUUUCUUCUGUUUUUGUGUCUCCCUCAUACUAAAUUAUUUCAGAAAUUAAAACAAAAUCUAAGAUAAAACAAAAGCAACCUGAGUAAACACAAAAUACAGUUUUUAAAUGAUGUUAUUUAUUGAAGCAAAAAAGUUAUCCAAUAUCAACUGGGCCUGUGUGAAAAUGUAUUUGCCCCCGUGGUUACUAAUUACCCAAAUCUAUGAAACUGCAUUCGUAAUGGGGUUCAGCUGGACUAGACGCAACCAGGCCCGAGUACUGCAAACCCUGUUCAAUCAAAUCAACACCUAAAUAGAACUUUUUCAACAGCAUGAAGUUGGUUAAAAGGUCUUACCCAAUAACACACCAAAGUUGAAAGUAAUUCCAGAAAUGAUGAGGAAGAAAGUGACUGAAAUACAUCAGUCUGGGAAGGGUUACAAAAGAUACUUCAUAAGCUCUGGGACUCCAAAGAACCACAGUGAGAGCCAAGAUCCCCAAAUAUAAAAACUCAGCGCAGUAGAGAACCUUCCCACAAGUGGCCGACCUUCCAAAAUUCCUCCAAGAGCACAGCAACGAUUCAUCCAGCAAGUCACAAAAGAGCCGAGGACAACUUUAAAGGACCUACAGGCCUCACUUGCAUCAAUAAAGGUCAUUUUUUAUGACUCCACUAUCAGAAUGACGCUGGGAAAAAUGGCGUCCAUGGAAGAGUGGUGAGGUGAAAACCACUGCUAACCCAGAAGAACAUUAAGGCUCAUCUGAAUUUUGCCAAAACACACCUUAAUGAUCCUCAAACCUUUGGGGAGAAUGUUCUAUGGAUUAAUGAGUCAAAAGUGGAACUGUUUGGAAGACAGGGGUCCGGUUACAUCUAGUGUAAACCAAACACAGAAUUCCACAAAAAGAACAUCUUACCUACGGUCAAGCAUGGUGGUGGAAGUGUGAUGGUGUGGGGAUAUUUUGCUGCUUCAUGGUCUGGGCAACUUGCAAUAAUUGAGGGAAACAUGAAUUCUGCUCUCUACCAAAAAAUCCUAGAGAAGAAUGUCAGCUCUUCUGUCCGUAAAUUGAAACUAAAGCACAACUGGAUUAUGAAGCAAGACAAUGAUCCAAAGCAUAGGAGUAAGUCCUAGUUCUAAAAUAAGUGAAAGACUGAUCUCCAGUUAUAGGAAGCGUUUGGUUGCAGUUAUUGCUACUAAAAGGUGGCACAAGCUAAUUUUAAGUUUAAGGGGGCAAUUCGUUUGUCACAUUGGUUGUAGGUGUUGGAUACCUGAAAUAAAUAAAUAAUAAAUAAUCUGUGUUUUGUGUGUACUCAGGCAUUCAAAAACUACCACGUUUCCAUGACAACCAACGGUUUACCACCCACACCACAUUAAAUACUGGCUUCAGUCCUUCCCUACAUCCCACAUGCACACCAUUUUUAAAAACAGGUUGCUAACCAAGCACGUAAUGUUCUGUUAAUUCUGAGACCUUCUUCAAUUUCCUUUUUUUUUAUUUUACUCUCAAGUGACCUUGUUCUAGUGGAAGGCGAAAGUUUAAAAAAGAAAGAAAGAAAGAAAGAAAAAAAUACAUGCCAUUUGGUAAGGCCUCUUUCAGCUGUGACUCAAUCACAAAUAUGUUCCCCACAAUCAUGAAAAAACAGAUAAUGAAACUAAUCACUGAUCAUUUGUGUUUUGAAAGCAUAAUAAGGGGUUGCAUUAAUUAAAUGCAAGAAAGAUUUUUUAAAUGAGGCAAAAAAAAAUUCCUCAUUCUCUUUACUGUCUUAU